UACGUAGGUGGCAAGCGUUACUCGGAAUCACUAGGCCUAAAGCGCAGGUAGGUGGUUGAAUAAGUCUGUUGUGAAAGCUCCUGGCUUAACUGGGAGAGGUCAGCAGAAACUAUUUGGCUAGGGUAUGGCAGGGGAAACUGGAAUUCCCGGAGUAGCGGUGAAAUGCAUAGAUAUCGGGAGGAAUACCGAUGGCGAAAGCAGGUUUCUGGGCCAUAACCGACACUGAGCUGCGAAAGCUAGGGGAGCAAACAGG
Molecule: ribosomal RNA, 253 nt
Filed under: uncultured bacterium
Lineage: Bacteria
Description: partial 16S ribosomal RNA
Rfam family: Bacterial small subunit ribosomal RNA
Source: RNAcentral